CCUACGGGAGGCUGCAGGGAGGAAGAGGGGGCAAGGGGCGAGAGCCUGAACCAGCCAAGCCGCGUGAAGGAUGACGGCCCUACGUGUUGUAAACUUCUUUUGUCAGGGAGCAAUUGGGUCCACGCGUGGGCUUAGCGAGAGUACCUGAGGAAAAAGCAUCGGCUAACUCCGUGCCAGCAGCCGCGGUAAUACGGAGGAUGCGAGCGUUUUCCGGAUUAUUUGUCUUUAAAGGUUGCGUAGGCGGAAUAUCAAGUCAGCGGUAAAAAGUCGGGGCUCAACCCCGUCGUGCCGUUGAAACUGAUGGUCUUGAGUGGGCGAGAAGUAUGCGGAAUGCGUGGUGUAGCGGUGAAAUGCAUAGAUAUCACGCAGAACUCCGAUUGCGAAGGCAGCAUACCGGCGCCCAACUGACGCUGAAGCACGAAAGCGUGGGUAUCGAACAGGAUUAGAUACCCGUGUAGUC
This 460-nucleotide ribosomal RNA is filed under the name uncultured bacterium. Its description in RNAcentral is "partial 16S ribosomal RNA". It matches the Rfam family "Bacterial small subunit ribosomal RNA", at positions 338 to 795 of the family's 1533-position model. The record is from RNAcentral.